CUCAAGAGUUCUCUCUCUCCCUAUUUUCUUCUAUCUCUCCCAAUUGAGAGUGUGUCUCCGAGGAUCUCCAUUGCAAACCUUGGAUGUGGAGGGUGGAAAAUUUCCUAACGAGAUCACCGUAACCUUUCGUUCGUCUUUGUUCAUGCGGAUCGACGAGUGAUGCAACCCUAUCCAUUCGUUACGAGAAAAACUACAUCGAGGUUCAAGUGAUUUUGAGUGGACUUUAAUGAGAGACGGUUGGUAGCAUUAAGCAUGUGCAGUUGCAAGAGCCACAGAAGCUGAGGUCAAGCUAGGAUGAGGAGUUCAAGCACCUCCAAACUAAUGCAAGAGAGAUGCCUCAAUGGAUACAAAAAAGGUUUUUCAAUAGUUUACCAAGACUUUGAAAAAAAAAAAAAAAAAAGUAAAUGCACGAGGCUCCCGCUCCUACAGGGUCUGAAAGGGGGCAGGUAUGCAGCCUUACCCCUGCUUUGCAGGAGAGACUGUUUCCAAUUUUGACCAUGACAAAAAGAUUAUUUUUUAACCUCAUAAUUUUGAUCUGUUUUACCA
Macadamia integrifolia is the source of this 546-nucleotide long non-coding RNA. RefSeq lists it as uncharacterized. Lineage: Eukaryota; Viridiplantae; Streptophyta; Magnoliopsida; Proteales; Proteaceae. The transcript is spliced from 2 exons. The record is from RefSeq and is a predicted model, not a curated record.